RNAcentral lists this ribosomal RNA (490 nucleotides) under Acrobeloides sp. Sourhope farm. Its description in RNAcentral is "SSU rRNA". It matches the Rfam family "Eukaryotic small subunit ribosomal RNA", at positions 49 to 538 of the family's 1831-position model. The record is from RNAcentral. Lineage: Eukaryota; Metazoa; Nematoda; Chromadorea; Rhabditida; Cephalobidae.
CCAUGCAUGUCUAAGUAUAAACGAUUUAAUCGUGAAACCGCGAAUGGCUCAUUAUAACAGCUAUAAUUUACUUGAUCUUGACACAAUCCUACUUGGAUAACUGUGGUAAUUCUAGAGCUAAUACAUGCAUUAAAGCUCUGACCUCACGGGAAGAGUGCAUUUAUUAGAACAAAACCAAGCGGCUUCGGCUGUUUCUGGUUGACUCAUAGUAACUGAGCUGAUCGCAUGGUCUUGCACCGGCGACGUGUCUUUCAAGUAUCUGCCGUAUCAACUUUCGAUGGUAGUGUAUCUGACUACCAUGGUGAUCACGCGUAACGGAGAAUAAGGGUUCGGCUCCGGAGAGUUCGCCUGAGAAAUCGCGAACACAUCUAAGGAAGGCAGCAGGCGCGAAAAUUACCCACUCUCAGCACGAGGAGGUAGUGACGAAAAAUAACGAGACCGUUCUCUUAUGAGGCCGGUCAUCGGAAUGGGUACAAUUUAAACCCUUAAC